RNAcentral lists this non-coding RNA (28 nucleotides) under Cricetulus griseus (Chinese hamster). RNAcentral also lists the same sequence under 1 other name. The record is from RNAcentral. Lineage: Eukaryota; Metazoa; Chordata; Mammalia; Rodentia; Cricetidae.
UGCUGGGAAUUGAACUCAGGACCUCUGG